GCGGGGAUAGCUCAGUUGGGAGAGCGUCAGACUGAAGAUCUCGAUCCACGCUCACCGCA
This 59-nucleotide transfer RNA is filed under the name Arabidopsis thaliana (thale cress). Lineage: Eukaryota; Viridiplantae; Streptophyta; Magnoliopsida; Brassicales; Brassicaceae. The record is from Rfam by way of RNAcentral.